RNAcentral lists this ribosomal RNA (253 nucleotides) under uncultured bacterium. RNAcentral's name for it is "partial 16S ribosomal RNA". It matches the Rfam family "Bacterial small subunit ribosomal RNA", at positions 524 to 776 of the family's 1533-position model. The record is from RNAcentral.
UACGAAGGGGGCUAGCGUUGCUCGGAAUUACUGGGCGUAAAGCGCACGUAGGCGGUUUCUUAAGUCGGGGGUGAAAUCCUGGAGCUCAACUCCAGAACUGCCUUCGAUACUGGGAAACUUGAGUCCGGGAGAGGUGAGUGGAACUGCGAGUGUAGAGGUGAAAUUCGUAGAUAUUCGCAAGAACACCAGUGGCGAAGGCGGCUCACUGGCCCGAUACUGACGCUGAGGCACGAAAGCGUGGGGAGCAAACAGG